GAUGAACGCUGGCGGCGUGCCUAAUACAUGCAAGUCGAGCGAACGGACGAGAAGCUUGCUUCUCUGAUGUUAGCGGCGGACGGGUGAGUAACACGUGGAUAACCUACCUAUAAGACUGGGAUAACUUCGGGAAACCGGAGCUAAUACCGGAUAAUAUUUUGAACCGCAUGGUUCAAAAGUAAAAGACGGUCUUGCUGUCACUUAUAGAUGGAUCCGCGCUGCAUUAGCUAGUUGGUAAGGUAACGGCUUACCAAGGCAACGAUGCAUAGCCGACCUGAGAGGGUGAUCGGCCACACUGGAACUGAGACACGGUCCAGACUCCUACGGGAGGCAGCAGUAGGGAAUCUUCCGCAAUGGGCGAAAGCCUGACGGAGCAACGCCGCGUGAGUGAUGGAGGUCUUCGGAUCGUAAAACUCUGUUAUUAGGGAAGAAUAUAUGUGUAAGUAACUGUGCACAUCUUGACGGUACCUAAUCAGAAAGCCACGGCUAACUACGUGCCAGCAGCCGCGGUAAUACGUAGGUGGCAAGCGUUAUCCGGAAUUAUUGGGCGUAAAGCGCGCGUAGGCGGUUUUUUAAGUCUGAUGUGAAAGCCCACGGCUCAACCGUGGAGGGUCAUUGGAAACUGGAAAACUUGAGUGCAGAAGAGGAAAGUGGAAUUCCAUGUGUAGCGGUGAAAUGCGCAGAGAUAUGGAGGAACACCAGUGGCGAAGGCGACUUUCUGGUCUGUAACUGACGCUGAUGUGCGAAAGCGUGGGGAUCAAACAGGAUUAGAUACCCUGGUAGUCCACGCCGUAAACGAUGAGUGCUAAGUGUUAGGGGGUUUCCGCCCCUUAGUGCUGCAGCUAACGCAUUAAGCACUCCGCCUGGGGAGUACGACCGCAAGGUUGAAACUCAAAGGAAUUGACGGGGACCCGCACAAGCGGUGGAGCAUGUGGUUUAAUUCGAAGCAACGCGAAGAACCUUACCAAAUCUUGACAUCCUUUGACAACUCUAGAGAUAGAGCCUUCCCCUUCGGGGGACAAAGUGACAGGUGGUGCAUGGUUGUCGUCAGCUCGUGUCGUGAGAUGUUGGGUUAAGUCCCGCAACGAGCGCAACCCUUAAGCUUAGUUGCCAUCAUUAAGUUGGGCACUCUAAGUUGACUGCCGGUGACAAACCGGAGGAAGGUGGGGAUGACGUCAAAUCAUCAUGCCCCUUAUGAUUUGGGCUACACACGUGCUACAAUGGACAAUACAAAGGGCAGCGAAGCCGCGAGGUCAAGCAAAUCCCAUAAAGUUGUUCUCAGUUCGGAUUGUAGUCUGCAACUCGACUACAUGAAGCUGGAAUCGCUAGUAAUCGUAGAUCAGCAUGCUACGGUGAAUACGUUCCCGGGUCU
Molecule: ribosomal RNA, 1372 nt
Filed under: uncultured bacterium
Lineage: Bacteria
Description: bacterial SSU rRNA
Rfam family: Bacterial small subunit ribosomal RNA
Source: RNAcentral